GCGCAGGUGUGGAUACCACCCAUGAAUCGAGCUGCCAGCCAUUUCAAGCUUUGACAGUGCCUGUUGAGUCUCAGCAGAACUUUUGUGCUGCCUGUGGAGGAUUUCUGUCUGCUGAGGGCACAGCUGAUGUCACCGGCUCCAGUUCAAGUAGUUGGGAUGCUGAUCAAGCAGUAGUAGCUGUCUUUCACAGAAGAAUAGCUACAUUGGAAGAGUGCUUGAACAACAUGAAGCGGAAAGUUGCUACACUGCAACAACAGAAAAGCAGAGCAAACCGUAGAAACCAUGAACUCACGCGAAACAUCAAGAAGUACCUGUCACCAGAUCAACUGCAAGGCGUGUGGACUUCCACUAUGCGAAAAAGCAAUGGUCUACUGAGACUAUACAGAAAGGCCUCAAGCUCCGUUUGGCAUGAGGAUCGAGAGGCUACAAUGCCGUCAGGGAGCUUGCUGUACCCCUUCCGAGUGAAAGAACUUUACAACGUCGUGUUGGAAACUACAAGUUCUCACCAGGAAUUCUACAUGAGGUUCUGAAGUCCCUUGCUUUAAAGGUGAAAGGAUGGUGUAGCUUAAUGUAUUUGUUACUUUAUUCUUGAGAGCAUCUCCUUCAGCAGUACACCUUGAGCAAACGGUGAAACCUUUUCCAGAGCCUUCCACUAUGGCAUGUCUCAAGAUUGUAUCAUGGUUUUCGCACGUAAACCCUAAUAUUUAUUAAGCUUUCAUGUGUUGCUAGUGCCAGUGUUAGUGCCUGUCACUGCGCUCUUUGUCGUGCACGUUUUAGCGGCCAUUCAUAAAGUUUUCACAACAUAUGCUCACCUUUCCUUCACUUAUGACUUCAGGUCCUCUAACUAGGCACAAUUCCACAUAAAUUUCAAUGGGUGAUAAUCUUCUUGCAUGCAAACAUCGAAAUACAGCUUGAACUGUGCACUGCCUGUUUAUUCUUGAAAAGCAUUGUAUUUUAAAUGUCUUUAUUAAUGCCUUUGUUGCUUAAUGCAUGUUGCAUAUUUCAGAUAACCACCAUGAAGGAGCAUGAGAGGCAUGCAGUUCUGAUGCUCGAUGAAAUUCUGUUGAGCUCAGGGCUUGCAUUUGACCAAACGACUGGCACUGUUAUUGGAAGGCCAACUUUACCUUUGGCCGACGGUUCUCUGCCUCAUGCUGCAGUGGCAACGCAUGGACUUGUUUUCAUGCUGGGUGGGGUUACGCAAAGAUGAAAGCAGACAGUUGCUUAUCACUUUACUGGAAACUCGUUCAGCAGUAUUGCAGUUUAAGAACAGUUGAUUGAAAUUAUUCAGGAAUGUGAAACAAUCGGGGUUCGUAUAGAUGCAGUCGUUAGCAACAUGGGUGGUGGGAAUAUGGCACUCUGGAGAGAAAUUGGCAUUGUUGUGGGAAAGCAUUCUGUGUCAAGAGUUUCUUGUUGUCAUCCUGUUGACCAAAAUCGCAAGCUUUAUUUUAUGACAGACACCGCACAUUUGCUAAAAAACUUGAGGAACCACCUCACACGUGGUCAAUCGAUUUUCCUUCCCAAAAAUGUGGUCGAAAAGCACAAGCUGCCUUCGAAUGAGGUCAACCUUGUGCCGAUUCAGAAUCUGGUAGAAAUAGACUCUGAACUGUAAUUAAACAUAGCACCGCGCUUGAAACCAUCCUUCUUGGACCAAGGACACUAUGAGAAAAUGAAAGUGGGGCCUGCAUUUUCGUUGCUAAAUUACGAUACUGCAGCUGCACUACCUUUCUUGGUCUAAAGGGAAGAUUUGCCCCAAGAAGCGUUGACAACAGCAUGGUUCAUAGAAACCAUUUAUAGGUGGUUCAAAGUACUGACAUCACGUACAACGAAGCUUGGCAUCAGCAAGUUAAAUGAUCAGAAAUAUGAGGACUCACUGAUUUUUUUAAAUGAUAUGGUAACUCUUUUUACAGAUCUGAAGAUAGGCUCUCCAUCGAAACACGUGUGGAAGCCUGUGCAGACGGGCAUUAUUUAUGUGUGUAAAGUUGCAUUGGAACUGCAGUAUUAUUAUCUUAAUGAGAAGGGCUUCUUUUUUGUUUUGCUCGGCCGAUUUGCCCAAGAUGCUCUUGAGAAUUUGUUCUCCACUCUGAGGGCGAAGAAUGCAGUACCAAAAGCUCUUCAAUUUCGUAGUGCUAUUCGAGGUGCUACUUUGGCACAGUUCUUUCGCCCCAGUAGAAGUGGAAUCUAUGCUAUCGGCGAUGCUCCUUCCCUAGUUGGCAUCGAAAAUUGCCACGCAAGAGCUCCUAGCAGCAAUGAUGCAGAAGCUGUUGAAUAUCCCAGUGAUCUUCUCGACAUAAGCAUGAUGGAGCAUGAGUCUUUUAUUUACCUUGCUGGGUUUGUGGUAAAGAGUGUUGCAAAGCACACAGGAAUUUGUGAGCAGUGCAAAACUGCCACAGUGUCAAACGAAGUUAGUGUGCUCACAAAGUUAAAAUCCUACACUGAUGACAGCAAGCUCGUAUCACCAGGGCCAGCAGUACUUCAUUUGCUCGAAACAGCUGAGAAUAUGUUUUGAGUGAAUAGCGACAAGCUUCUGUGCAAUGAAGUUACGAUUGGUCAACUUGUGACCACCACUAAUGACAGUGUGCAAGCUGUCAAUUGUUUUCGACCUUGCCACAACAUUCAGGAGAGGUUGCUGAGAGCAUUUUUUAAAACCAGAAUUAACAUUCUUCUGCGGAAAGAGAAUAUGCGUUUGGCAGCUGAUGAAGCUAAAGAUGCAAAAACUGGCAGUCGUAGCAUUGGAAAGCAGGCUGCUACAACCAAUGUAAAAUAGUGUGUAUGCCUCAUUUCUUUCGUGUUUUCCUUCCGUUUUUCUAUGAUGCAUAUGUGGUAUGGCCUCUUAAGCUAGUCUGUAGGCACAGUACUCACGGAUUGAAAUGCAGGAAUUAUGGUUUUGUUCAUUGCCUCUGUGUUUGUUUUCUCGUUUUUCCUCUCUUUGCUUUGCAUUUCUUGCCAAACGCAAUUCUAAGCUCGUGUAUUUUUAUUUUGACUUCUGCUAGGUUGGCCUGUGGCUGAUUUUUCUCUUGUUGUCUUGAGGCUGAAGCUAUUGUUGCCCUAUGAUUUUACAGCUUUGCACUUGUUGUUGAGGGCAAUUAUAAGCUCGUGUGUUUUUAUUCCGACUACAUCUGGGUUGGCCUCUAUUUUAGUGGCUAAUUUCGCUCUUCUUCUCUUCAGAUAGUUACCCUCACAAGUCUAUGAUUAGGUCCGUGGUUUUGCUGUGCCUAUUACAUCUGUUUUAUUAUGUCUUUUACAUGUAUGUCCUGUUUCAUGCCUACAUACCUGCAUGAUAUGUUUUGCAUAUCCCCAGUAGGGGCUUUCCAUGUCUACUUCCUAUUCCUGUGCUUUCAAAAGUUCAAUAUGUGUACUUCAUUUCAUUCGCUAAAUUCCACAUGUGGAGUGUUAAUCUUGAUAAAGGUGUUUGGCACAAAUUGCGUCCACUUGUCCCUAGUUGUGAGUGCACCACGAAUGCCAUCGCUUUUCUUUACUCUUGUCAUUGUGAUGUGCACGUAUAGCAACAAGUCGCGGUUAACACAUAUUUCAUGUCAUUUAUUGUGUACACUGCAUAACUAUCAUGUAUGAUUGAGGCAGUCCUGCAUUUUCAUGAAAUGUUGAAUAAAUGUCAUGUUUUGUGCCCUCCAUUCAGUUUUUGCAUAGAAUCAACUGUACUUGAACUUUGGUGUUUACCAAUAAAGUGACAUUAUGGAAUGGGGUUUCCUAAUGAA
Molecule: long non-coding RNA, 3713 nt
Organism: Rhipicephalus microplus (southern cattle tick)
Lineage: Eukaryota; Metazoa; Arthropoda; Arachnida; Ixodida; Ixodidae
Source: RefSeq, a predicted model, not a curated record